This 1343-nucleotide ribosomal RNA is filed under the name uncultured bacterium. RNAcentral describes it as "16S ribosomal RNA". It matches the Rfam family "Bacterial small subunit ribosomal RNA", at positions 28 to 1378 of the family's 1533-position model. The record is from RNAcentral.
GACGAACGCUGGCGGCGUGCUUAACACAUGCAAGUCGAACGGAAAGGCCCUGCUUUUGUGGGGUGCUCGAGUGGCGAACGGGUGAGUAACACGUGAGUAACCUGCCCUUGACUUUGGGAUAACUUCAGGAAACUGGGGCUAAUACCGGAUAGGAGCUCCUGCUGCAUGGUGGGGGUUGGAAAGUUUCGGCGGUUGGGGAUGGACUCGCGGCUUAUCAGCUUGUUGGUGGGGUAGUGGCUUACCAAGGCUUUGACGGGUAGCCGGCCUGAGAGGGUGACCGGCCACAUUGGGACUGAGAUACGGCCCAGACUCCUACGGGAGGCAGCAGUGGGGAAUAUUGCACAAUGGGCGGAAGCCUGAUGCAGCAACGCCGCGUGCGGGAUGACGGCCUUCGGGUUGUAAACCGCUUUCGCCUGUGACGAAGCGUGAGUGACGGUAAUGGGUAAAGAAGCACCGGCUAACUACGUGCCAGCAGCCGCGGUGAUACGUAGGGUGCGAGCGUUGUCCGGAUUUAUUGGGCGUAAAGGGCUCGUAGGUGGUUGAUCGCGUCGGAAGUGUAAUCUUGGGGCUUAACCCUGAGCGUGCUUUCGAUACGGGUUGACUUGAGGAAGGUAGGGGAGAAUGGAAUUCCUGGUGGAGCGGUGGAAUGCGCAGAUAUCAGGAGGAACACCAGUGGCGAAGGCGGUUCUCUGGGCCUUUCCUGACGCUGAGGAGCGAAAGCGUGGGGAGCGAACAGGCUUAGAUACCCUGGUAGUCCACGCUGUAAACGGUGGGUACUAGGUGUGGGGUCCAUUCCACGGGUUCCGUGCCGUAGCUAACGCUUUAAGUACCCCGCCUGGGGAGUACGGCCGCAAGGCUAAAACUCAAAGGAAUUGACGGGGCCCCGCACAAGCGGCGGAGCAUGCGGAUUAAUUCGAUGCAACGCGUAGAACCUUACCUGGGUUUGACAUGGAUCGGGAGCGCUCAGAGAUGGGUGUGCCUCUUUUGGGGUCGGUUCACAGGUGGUGCAUGGCUGUCGUCAGCUCGUGUCGUGAGAUGUUGGGUUAAGUCCCGCAACGAGCGCAACCCUUGUUCACUGUUGCCAGCACGUUAUGGUGGGGACUCAGUGGAGACCGCCGGGGUCAACUCGGAGGAAGGUGGGGAUGACGUCAAGUCAUCAUGCCCCUUAUGUCCAGGGCUUCACGCAUGCUACAAUGGCUGGUACAGAGAGUGGCGAGCCUGUGAGGGUGAGCGAAUCUCGGAAAGCCGGUCCCAGUUCGGAUUGGGGUCUGCAACUCGACCUCAUGAAGUCGGAGUCGCUAGUAAUCGCAGAUCAGCAACGCUGCGAUGAAUACGUUCCCGGG